RNAcentral lists this ribosomal RNA (460 nucleotides) under uncultured bacterium. RNAcentral's name for it is "partial 16S ribosomal RNA". It matches the Rfam family "Bacterial small subunit ribosomal RNA", at positions 338 to 795 of the family's 1533-position model. The record is from RNAcentral.
CCUACGGUAGGCUGCAGUGAGGAAUAUUGGUCAAUGGGCGCGAGCCUGAACCAGCCAAGUAGCGUGAAGGAUGACUGCCCUACGGGUUGUAAACUUCUUUUAUAAAGGAAUACAGUGAGGCUCGUGUGCCUAUUUGUAUUGACUUUAUCAAUACGGAUCGGCUCACUCCGUUCCAGCAGCCGCGGUAAUAUGGAGGAUCCGAGCGUUAUCCGGAUUUAUUGGGUUUAACGGGAGCGUAGAUGGGUUGUUAAGUCAGUUGUGAAAGUUCGCGGCUCAACCGUAAAAUGGCAAUUGAUACUGGCAGACUUGAGUUCAGUUGAGGUAGGCGGAAUUCGUGGUGUAGCGGUGAAAUGCUUAGAUAUCACGAAGAACUCCGAUGGCGAAGGCAGCUUACUAGACUGCCACUGACAUUGAUGCUCGAAAGUGUGGGUAUCAAACAGGAUUAGAUACCCGUGUAGUC